GCCCGGAUAGCUCAGUCGGUAGAGCAUGAGACUCUUAAUCUCAGGGUAUUAACGUAAUAAUUAUGUUCUGACG
Non-coding RNA from Molorchus minor, 73 nucleotides. Lineage: Eukaryota; Metazoa; Arthropoda; Insecta; Coleoptera; Cerambycidae. The record is from the annotation of a GenBank genome assembly.